RNAcentral lists this long non-coding RNA (7965 nucleotides) under Nicotiana tabacum (common tobacco). RNAcentral describes it as "long non-coding RNA (NTAB_LNC003669)". The record is from RNAcentral. Lineage: Eukaryota; Viridiplantae; Streptophyta; Magnoliopsida; Solanales; Solanaceae.
CCUAAAACAGUUGAGCCGUUUUUGACAAGAAAUUAGGACACCACCUUUUCUUCUUCGAAGGAGCAGCACCUUCGGCUUCUUUUUUUGGCAAAAAGCAAAAAACCUAACGCUAAGGAUCCCACAUGACUGCCAUCUUCAGUCACGUUUUCAAAAGAAGAUAGAAGCAAUUAUCAUCUUAUAGUAGCUGCCCAAAAUAAUGAUGUUGUCGGCCCAUCCAUAAAUUGCACGAGAUUUCUCAAAGGUUUAGGUUGAGAAAAUCCAAGUUCAUUUACCAAUUCACCCACUUAAUUGCAAAUCUUGAUGUCAAGUUUUAUUCCCACUAGUAUUAAUCAAUCACUAAUCACUCUUUAUGAAAAACUAGCGAGGCGUUUCUGUUAAUGGAAAAAAAGAGAUUCGAGCUCACAUAAAACACCCUAUCUGAUUUGUGUACCAAGAUGAAUUAAUCAUCCAAAAGUUGGUGGUAGUCCACGAUGGCUGGCAUCAGUCAGAGUACAUCAACAGAUGCCGAUACGGAAGAUAAGAACAAGGGCAUUUGAGGCAGUAGGAGUUCGAGUCCAAGCAUUCUGAGUUCUGGUCGUGAUUUUGUGUCAUCUCAGAUCCUUGUUGCUGUCUUUCUCGUUUAGUUUUCACACUCAAAGUUUGUAGUCGACCAGUUUCAUUUUGCUAUUCAAGGAAAAUUGCUAUUUCAGAUCUGGUUAUUUAUGUCUCUGCUUGAGUUUUUUUUACCAAAUUAAAGUUGCUGGUUCGAGCUAUGCCGCUAAGCUUAUGUUGUUUGUCGGUUCGUGGUAGUUCAGCUUCGAGUUCAAGGAUUACGUUCAGCUCAUAUCUAAUUAACAUCAAAAAGGUCCUCACUCUCACUGAGGUUCAACUCUUCAAUCCUCUACUCAUUUUAUUCUAGCUGAGUGUUAAUUGCUUGUUUGGUGAUUUGGUUCUGUGAUUUGUUUGGUUAUUGUGUCUAGUUUUGAGUUUGGUCAUGUAGUUAUCUACUCGCAUGCUACUCGAAUUGGUGAUAGCUGAACAUGAUUUUGUUACAGUAUAGAAAUUGAGCUGCUAUUCUUCAACUAAACUACGUCAAAUUAGAUUAAAGGGGCUCGGGUGUGCAUUCCACGUGACCUGCCAUAAUUUUGAAUAAUAAUAAUAAUAAUAAUAAUAAUAAACAUGUUAUAAAUCCGGGUGUGCAUUUCAUGUGACCCAACUUCGAUUUCCAAUAAUGUUAAAUAAAAUAAACGUGUCGUGAACCGUAUACGCAUUUCAUGUAGCGUGGUUUACGAUAUGUUUUCAACAAUCAUGAAUUUUCCUAAAAACAUUACAAGCAGUUAGAAAGUUAAAAAUGCACAAUAGGUUUAAAACGUGUAAUAAAUCAGAUAAUUAGGCCAAUAAUUAUAGUUGAGCGACCAUACUAAAACCACGGGAACCCGGGAAUGCCUAACACCUUCUCUCAGGUUAACAGAAUUCCUUACCCGGAUUUCUGUGUUUCGCGGACUGUAAAAUAUAGUCAAACUUUUCCUCGAUUAGGGAUUUUAAACUGAUGACUUGGGACCCAUAUAAUUAUCCCAAGUGGCGACUCUGAACUUAAAAAAUAAUCUCGUUUCGAUUGUCACUUAAAUUGAAAAAAACUGUCUUAUACCCCUUUCGGGGGUGUGAAAAGGAGGUGUGACAAGUUUGGCGCCCACCGUGGGGCUAAAUAUAAUAGUUAUUAUUUUCUUGCUGGUUUCAUUACAAAAACACAAGUUAUCUUUCACACUUUUUCUUGUCCGAGAUCUUUGAUUUCAGAUCAAAAUGUCUGGCUUGAUAAACAGAGUUGAGAACGAUAACCCCGAAAACUACGGGGAAAACGCAUGGCUGUUCCACUCCCGGAACGCAACCACAAAAUCCCAAUGAUGCGUCCGGACCGAUUCUAGCAGACACGGAUUCACAGGACGCACAACAGGUCGACGAAAACUCACACACCGACAGAAGCAUACAUCAUGGCAACCAACUAGAAGCCCAAAAAACCCCGGCUCGGAAAGCGCAGGAAGUUAGUCUUCACAAUAUUUUUGAAAUGUUGCAGGCACAGCAGUUGGCUAUUGCUCAGUUACAAAGCCAUCCGAAGAGUCCCAGCACAAUAGCGCCGGAAACUACUCCCCCAACCGAAUAGGUACUAGAGAGGUCAAGCAAUGACGGAUCGGUAACCAAUCCUGCCAUCAUGAGAAUGUUGCAGGAUCUCACCAAAAGGAUCAAGUAAGGCGAGAAAAUGAUAGCAGCCAAUGAUAAGAAGGUCGAAAUCUAUAACUUCAGAGUCGACCAAAUCUCGGGCGCGCCCCCGGUCCUGAAAGGUGUAGAUUCGAGGAAGUUGAUGCAAUGGCCGUUCCUAGAGGAAGCGGCUCUGAAACCCAUUCCAAAGAAAUUCAAAAUGCCAGAACUCCCAAAAUACAACGGGACCACAGAUCCCAACAAAUACGUCACUGCCUACACAUGCGCAGUGAAGGGCAAUAACAUAAAAUAUGAUGAGAUCGAGGCAGUCCUGCUGAAGAAAUUUGGAGAAACGCUCUCGAAGGGGGCCAUGAUGUGGUACCACAACCUAGCUCCCAACUCCGUAGAUUCGUUCGCCAUGCUGGCGGACUCCUUCAUAAGGGCGCACGCCGGUGCCAUCAAGGUAGCAACAAGGCAGUCUAAAGUAUUCAAGACUAAGCAGAGGGAGAACGAAAUGCUGUGAGAAUUCGUGUCUCAUUUUCAGAUAGAACGAAUGGAGCUACCCCCGGUCUACGACGACUGGGCAGUUCAGACAUUCACUCAAGGCCGGAAUGAACGAAGCUCGGUGGCAUCAAGGAAGCUGAAAGAAAAUCUGAUCAAGUAUCCUGUCAUAACCUGGUCGGACGUCUACAACCGAUACUAGUCAAAGAUCAGGGUCGAGGACGACCAGCUGGGAGCCCUUUCGGGCUCAGUAUACUCGAGCAGGCUCUUGACGAGGGAGUAAAAAUCGAAUAAAUAGAGGUACCAGCCAUACCCCGAUGAUAGGAGAAAUGCUCCAAAGCGCAAUCCGCCCCAUAAUGAUUGAUUGGUAAGCCAAGGACAAAACCCUUGGGGACCCCUCAAUAGAGGUGGCUUUGACGGAUACGCAGGGCCAACAAGGGCACCCCGCCUGUCAGAGUACAACUUUAACAUCGAUGUGUCGGACAUCGUGUUCGCCAUUAUCAAAGUUAGGGAUGCCAGAUGGCCUAGAUCGGUAUACUUGGUUCCUUCCCAAAGGAACUACAAUUUGAUUUGCGAGUUUCACAACUCGCACGGGCACCGAACUGAAGAUUGCCAACUGCUCUAUAACGGGCUAUAAACCAAUCUUGAGAAGGAGAAACAACCAAAAGGAAAAAAGCAGGAGAGCCCCAACACGUUGUCCAUACGAUUUUUUGAUGGUCACCCCAGAAACAUUCAAGUAAAGGACCACUUAGAAACCGCCAAAUAAGCGCCAGAACUCGAAAGCGCCGUCACCACCAAUGUAUAAUCACCCUCCUUCAUUUUAUCCUCUACUUCACGAUAACACUUGCGCCGGCCAGCGACCAAGGCAAUCGGGACGCCACUCCGACUCGAAGACCCUGAGGUUUCAAAGCGUCCAUUUCACUCUUUUCCUUUAAUCGGUUUUUUAUCCCAAAAUGGGUUUUUACCGGCAGGGGUUUGUAACGAGGCAACACCCACGCACUUCCCAAAAAGGAUUCAAUGAGCCUACGGGACUUUCUUUGCAACCAACCCCGCUCUAUAAAUAACGAACGAGGCUCCAAUAGGAAAUGAUGUACAUGACCAAACAGUCCAAGGAGCCGCGCCCACGCGGGCCAAGCUUUCAACAACAAAAUAUCAUGUAUUUACGCCAAGCAAUAAAGAAUAUCUUUCAGCAUCUCGUACUCUAGAAAAGGGAAUUUCAGUAUGCUCAUAGCAAGGGUCCCUCCACCAAAUGCGUCCCGAAGUACUCGGAGACUUAACGUCAAUAUUUUGGCACCCGCACGGCCCCACAGUCAGAACUCCGGUCUUAUAAGGCCCCAACGAGGGAACUACGGGCUCAUAAGGCCCCAAUGAGGUAACUCCGAGCUCACGAAUUACGGCCUUCGAGCCUAAGCAAACUUGAUGACUGUCGCCAAUAUCCAUACACUAGAAAACCAGAGGCCGUAAGACCCCGGGCGGGCAGACUCGGUAUAACCAGAUCUAUUCUACAUAGUAACGAAAACUGUAAGACCUCAACAGGCAUGACAAACUGUAAGACCGCAAUAGGUAUGAUAAAUUGUAAGACCUCAAUAGGCAUGACAAACUGUAAGACCUCUACAGGCAUGACAAACUGUAAGACCCUAACUGGCAUGAAAAUUUUGUAAGACCUUACUACAGGCGUAAGACUCAAUCCCAAAGUUUAGGCUAUACGUCACAUUUGUAUGAAUCCCGAAAGGGCAUAUCCUCGUUGUAGAUGCCUAAACUAUCACUCGGGAUCAAAAAUAGCUCCGGUCAAACUCAUAUGACUACGGCCAAAACGGCUACACCAGACACAUUAACGCGACUCGGGGAUGCCCGACUGUCGCUAACAAAAUCACAAGCCACUACUUCUAAUAAACUUCGAAAAGAACCGGUUAAACAGGUUUCCCUCAACAGGAAAAGGAGCUUCGACGAUGUCAUCUCCAAAUCACAAGGCUUCGAGCUACUCAGCCUAUGAGCUAAGAACCUUCUGAGGUGAUUGAACAUCACCGCUAACGACUUGAAAUCGAGGUUCUUCCCGAACUGACGACGGGUCAGGCAAAAUUAUUUCAAAAAGACCUUAAUGAGAGGAAAACAAAGCCUAAAAUAUGCCCACGGGCAAAAGCAUAAGAGCUAUUGUCGCCAGCCAAACAAGCCUCCGGGCCACACACUAAAAGGUUGCAACGACCAACAGCGUAAAAGCCACUAUCGUCAGCUUGAAAAUUGAAAACUUGAGGAUUAAAAUGAGCUCGAGUCGUAACCCGAUUCGGAGACCGGAUCCAAAAUAGUUAACUAUACAUGCCUAAGGGCCACAUACAUAAAAGGUCGCUCCGACCCAAGGCAUAAGAGCCUUUGUCACCAGCCCAUGCAAAUGUAAAACUCGAGGGUAAAUUGAGCUCGAGUCGGAUCCCGGCUCGGAGACUGAACCUGAAGAUGGUUAAAGUACGCAAGCCUAAGGUCAAAAAAUGAAAGCCUCUAUCGCCGGCCUAAUAAACAUUGGGGCCAUAUUGCAGGUCCGGAGGUUUCUGCCAAUCCCAAGGUUGAAUCGACCCGAUUGAAUUCCCGACGAGCAAGAGUACAGAAGAUACAAAUUGUGGGGUUCCCCCUCUUAUUUUUACAUAUUGACGGUGAAGCACAAUCUCAACCUACAACAUAUAAUGAAAGCUAUAUAAACAAAGAAUAAGGCAGGGAAUAGACGUUCCCCCUUUAGGCAACUAUCGCCCGGUGGCCUCCUCCUCACAUUCCUCGGCAUCGGACAGAAGGAACUUGGCAUCAUACUCCUCUCCUUUAGCUUGCUCGAUCUUGCCCGAGAGAUCAAAUCCCAUGGCAUGAAUCUCCUUGAGGAUUUCCCUCUGGGAUCUGCACCUCACAUAUUCCUUGCUAUUGCUUGCACGAUCGAAGGCCCUCUUCAGCUCAGCUUUAGCAGCGACAGCGCUCCUUGAAUAGGCCGCCAUUUCUACCCCACCCUGGUAUUGUUCAUCACAGCCUCGACCCAGACAUUCACCACCUCGGUUUUCGCCCGAGCAGAAUCGUUCGCACAGACGGUCUGGAUUUGCGCCUCAAGAGCGGAAGCCCCAUCAUGAUACCUCUUUUUGGCCACAAAAUGGGCAUUCACAUGCGCCUGCAGCUCGGUGAAUUCGCGUUUGACUUGGCCAUCCUCGCCCCGGAGUUGUCCCAGCUCAUCCGACUUGUCCUUCAACUGAAAUAGCAAAAUAUGAAGAUGCCAAGAUAAAAAUGUUUCUAAGCUUUUCUCCUAAUUUACAAGGAAUUACGGGGUGAUCUACCCACAAAAUUAAAGAUCUAUGAGUCUAGUUUCCAACGCAUUAAACUGUAUGUCAAUACGAUCUCGGAGUAUAGAGAUAUUCAUAUUUUUGCAAGCCUGCGCAGAUUGGUAGAUGACAAGUAGGUGCAUCACCUACUUGCCAAAAUGAUAGGACAAAAUUAAAAGACCUAAGUCGGAGAGGACUUUUAAGGGGUUAUGAACUCAGUUAUUUCAUCCAUAUUUCAGACCCUCAAAACCAAAGUUAACCCCUGCAACUCCUCCCCAAAAAUCCCACACAAACCCUAAUCAAUUUUUCCUCUCUUUCAAGUUCUAUUUGAAGGUUAAACCUAGAGUUUGAAGAACCAAGGGAAGAGCUGAGUUAUCCAACAAGUAAGGUAAGUUACUACCAUCUUUCAUAAAUUUUUUGUCUGCUGUGAAUUAAUGGUAAUUCAUUCUAUACAUGUAAGAACUCAUGGGACGGUGAUCGAAAGUCGUGAGUUCGAGUUAUUCACUUGUAGCGGACUGUUUUGUGGACUAUUUUUUGUUGCUGUUGGUCUGCGUAUUUUACUACUGUUUUGUGGAGUUUUGGAGGUGGAAGGGUGUGGAGAAACACCAUAUAUAUGUAGGGUUUUGGGCUGAUAUAUAAUCGUAACAUUUCCGGGUCAUUUGACACGACUACGGUGGCCAUCGUAUGUAUGAUGUAAUUAGGUUGUGCGUGGACUGUUUUGGGAGGCUCAAUAUGUUUAUUAUUGAUGUUGUUUGGGCUGUUUGGUGAUUGUUUUGAAUGGUGUGAAGUCAUAUAUAUAGGGGAGGUGCUGUCCGUUUCAACGUAAAAUAGGUUGUGGUCGAUACAUAAUAGUUAUGACGCUUAAAUGAUAACGAUAGUAUCGUUUCUCUUAUUGUAGACUAAGGAGUUGUGACAAUUGCAUAGCUUGUGAUUGGAGCAGUAAUACAAGGUAUGUGAGGCUAUCCAUUUCCUUCCUUUGCACGACUCCUAUUGUACAUAUGUAAUGAACGAGCUUCCAAAGAUACUCUACUCUUAGAAGCUAGCAAUACUUACAUUGCUUUCCCUCUUAUGGAACGAUUGAUGUUAAUGUUGCUUCUCUUAUUCUUAUGUUAUUAUUGUUGUUGGUACUUGCUGAUUCCUAUAAGGUUCAUAGUGAAGAGUUAGUCCUAAUAACGUGUACAGAGGAUACCAACCUUACGUCACUCCGAAAGGUUUAGAAUGUGAUUCCAUGAGUCGAGCAUGCAUUAUAUAUAUGUAUCUAUUUUACUCUACCGAGUCGCGCUAUAGUCGGCCGGGUGCGACACCUAUUGUGCAACUACUGAUCAGUUGGAUUUUACCGAGCUCCACGUGGCCGGGUAGGAUUCUACCGAGCCUUAUGAUGGCCGGGUACGUUUUUUACCGACCCUAUUAUGGCUGGGUACGAUAUGAUGAUGAUGAUGAUGCCCACAAAGGCGUAUGUUUUAAAAGUUUAUGUAUACAUACAUAUGUAUCAUGCAUUUCAUGUCAGUAGCCCUCAGAGGUACUCAGAUGUUCCAGGUUGUAUAUUCUCUAUCCCUGCUUACAUUACUGUUCGUAUUUAUGGUUCCCUGCCUUACAUACUCAGUACUUUAUUCGUACUGACAUCCUUUUGUUUGUGGAUGCUGCAUGCCAUGCUUCGGGCCCUGAUAGACAGGCAAGUACAGCUCCCUCACCACAGUAGGUUGUCCAGUUCAGCAGUGAUUGGCGAGAUCCCUUCUCCGGACUUGCCGUGGUCUUGGUAUGCAUUUUUGUUAUAGAUAUUAUGGGUAUAUCGGGGCCCUGUUUCCGCUAUGUUGCAGCACUUAUGUUCAUUUAGAGGCUCAUAGACAGGUGUCGACUCAUGUAUAGUUUGGUAUGCCUUGUCAGCUGGUUUUUAUUGUAUAGUCUUUCAUGGUAGCGUGGUAGCUCGUACCUUAUAUGUAGUUUCUUGAUUAUCUGGUCAUCCCUUGUUAUGUAUGUUCAUGCCAUAAUAUUUUAUUGUUGGUUGUCC